Molecule: long non-coding RNA, 1041 nt
Organism: Megalops cyprinoides (Indo-Pacific tarpon)
Lineage: Eukaryota; Metazoa; Chordata; Actinopteri; Elopiformes; Megalopidae
Exons: 3
Source: RefSeq, a predicted model, not a curated record
UUUGGAAAUGCCCUGAAGAAAUAUAUGAACAUAGUGAGUGUAGCGCAACAAUGUUACUUUCAACGGACUUGACUUGACUCAACGGACUUAUAAUUUAAGGUAAAAGGAGAGAAAACUUUACUCCAUUGUUAUUGAACAGUAGUAGAGGACAGUGAAUCUAAUAAUAAUUAAUUGCGUUUAUAUAUGGAUCUCAAAGACGACGCACGGACGGAUCUCAUCUGUAAUCUAAAUGAAUUAAAUUGGAGAAAUGUGCAUACGAAAUGCAGCCUCCAUAUCCCAGCUUUAGUGGAUGUUUGUCUUGGAAAUUCCAGGUUAAAAUGACCUGAGGUCUUCAAAAACCAAGAUGUCGCUUUGAAAUGAUCGUAUUGGGGGGUGGGGGGUGUUGGUGGUGUUUUGUGAUGUAGAUAAAACUAGAGUUCGAUUCUUUAAUCAAAUGAUACACGAAAGAAUGAAGGGUUCCACAAAACCAUAAAACCCUUAACCAUGCGUUGCCACAUUAAGAUAAGAAGGCAACAUGUACAGCGACAGUCAUUUAUAUGAGAGAAGUACAGUACACACCGUUAAUGGAAAAGCAAAUGAAUACAGUCAUGUCCAACUGCGUUGACAUCGCGAGUUACUCGCUGGUUUGCGGAAAGUUUUGCUGACAGGUGAAGGAAACUCCGCACAGCCGUGACCUCGUAAGGCAGGUACGUAAUCAUCCCGAGACACCGACCGCGCAGAGCAAAACUCUGAGCAAAAUGAGAGAAACCUCGAACGUCAGUGAGACGAUUUAUCUGAAAUAAUCAGUCAGAAUUUUGAUGAACGUCUGACUGUAUCUUUCAUUCAAAAAACGAGUUCAAGACGGCUUUACAGUAAACGAAAAGCAAGCUGAGAUCGCUGAAGAUGGACAGUAUUUGGAAAUGAAAUUCUGUGUGUUUUCAGCCUUGCUAAAAUUUACCUCGUACCACAACUUUACCCAAUUUACGCAUAACACAUUGAAGAAAAAUGACAGGGAAAAUGCUUUGCGUUCUCAUGACUGGGCUUCUCUUGGUGCCAGCUUGC